GGAAUUUUGGACAAUGGGCGAAAGCCUGAUCCAGCAAUGCCGCGUGCAGGAUGAAGGCCUUCGGGUUGUAAACUGCUUUUGUACGGAACGAAAAAGCUCCUUCUAAUACAGGGGGCCCAUGACGGUACCGUAAGAAUAAGCACCGGCUAACUACGUGCCAGCAGCCGCGGUAAUACGUAGGGUGCGAGCGUUAAUCGGAAUUACUGGGCGUAAAGCGUGCGCAGGCGGUUAUGUAAGACAGAUGUGAAAUCCCCGGGCUCAACCUGGGAACUGCAUUUGUGACUGCAUGGCUAGAGUACGGUAGAGGGGGAUGGAAUUCCGCGUGUAGCAGUGAAAUGCGUAGAUAUGCGGAGGAACACCGAUGGCGAAGGCAAUCCCCUGGACCUGUACUGACGCUCAUGCACGAAAGCGUGGGGAGCAAACAGGAUUAGAUACCCUGGUAGUCCACGCCCUAAACGAUGUCAACUGGUUGUUGGGAAUUAGUUUUCUCAGUAACGAAGCUAACGCGUGAAGUUGACCGCCUGGGGAGUACGGCCGCAAGGUUGAAACUCA
RNAcentral lists this ribosomal RNA (552 nucleotides) under Delftia sp. TK36. Its description in RNAcentral is "bacterial SSU rRNA". It matches the Rfam family "Bacterial small subunit ribosomal RNA", at positions 358 to 903 of the family's 1533-position model. Lineage: Bacteria; Pseudomonadati; Pseudomonadota; Betaproteobacteria; Burkholderiales; Comamonadaceae. The record is from RNAcentral.